GGAAUGUCUAAUGCUGUAUUUUUCAGUCCAAACAGUAUACACAGAAACUCAAAGAGGUCCACUGGCGAUGUACAACCAUUUUGUGAAAGUCCUCCAAGCACGCAGUACCUGGAAUGCAUUCCAUGAGGACCAGGGGACCUGGUGCACAAGCUGAUGUUUGACCCCAUUUCACCGAUUAUAGUUUCCAUUAUUUGCUGAUUAAAGCAAUGAGGACAAUUGAAACAUCAAGAUGAUUCCAGUCUGACUGCAGGUUUGUGCCAUGAGGUAGGAGGUACAGAAGCCUGAAGACACACACUCAACGACUCAGGGACAGCUUCUUUCUCUCUGCCAUCCAAUUCCUAAAUGGACAUUGAACCCUCGGACACUAUCUCACUUUUAAAUAUGCACUAUUUCUAUUUUUGCAUGUUUUUACUCUAUUCAAUAUACAAUUACUGU
Hypanus sabinus (Atlantic stingray) is the source of this 435-nucleotide long non-coding RNA. RefSeq lists it as uncharacterized. The record is from RefSeq and is a predicted model, not a curated record. The transcript has 3 exons. Lineage: Eukaryota; Metazoa; Chordata; Chondrichthyes; Myliobatiformes; Dasyatidae.